RNAcentral lists this ribosomal RNA (469 nucleotides) under uncultured Sinobacteraceae bacterium. Its description in RNAcentral is "bacterial SSU rRNA". It matches the Rfam family "Bacterial small subunit ribosomal RNA", at positions 334 to 796 of the family's 1533-position model. The record is from RNAcentral. Lineage: Bacteria; Pseudomonadati; Pseudomonadota; Gammaproteobacteria; Nevskiales; Nevskiaceae.
GGCCCUACGGGUGGCAGCAGUGGGGAAUAUUGGACAAUGGGGGCAACCCUGAUCCAGCGACGCCGCGUGUGUGAAGAAGGCCUGCGGGUUGUAAAGCACUUUUAGUGGGGAGGAAACGCUCAGACCUAACACGUCUGGGAACUGACUUAACCCAAAGAAAAAGCACCGGCUAACUCUGUGCCAGCAGCCGCGGUAAUACAGAGGGUGCAAGCGUUAAUCGGAAUUACUGGGCGUAAAGCGAACGUAGGCGGUUACCUAAGUCGGAUGUGAAAUCCCCGGGCUCAACCUGGGAAUUGCAUUCGAGACUGGGUGGCUAGAAUGCGGAAGAGGGAAGCGGAAUUUCCGGUGUAGCGGUGAAAUGCGUAGAUAUCGGAAGGAACAUCAGUGGCGAAAGCGGCUUCCUGGUCCAGCAUUGACGCUCAGGUUCGAAAGCGUGGGGAGCAAACAGGAUUAGAUACCCCAGUAGUCA